RNAcentral lists this ribosomal RNA (619 nucleotides) under Pantoea agglomerans. Its description in RNAcentral is "bacterial SSU rRNA". The record is from RNAcentral. Lineage: Bacteria; Pseudomonadati; Pseudomonadota; Gammaproteobacteria; Enterobacterales; Erwiniaceae.
GACUUGGAGGUUGUUCCCUUGAGGAGUGGCUUCCGGAGCUAACGCGUUAAGUCGACCGCCUGGGGAGUACGGCCGCAAGGUUAAAACUCAAAUGAAUUGACGGGGGCCCGCACAAGCGGUGGAGCAUGUGGUUUAAUUCGAUGCAACGCGAAGAACCUUACCUACUCUUGACAUCCAGCGAACUUWGCAGAGAUGCUUUGGUGCCUUCGGGAACCCUGAGACAGGUGCUGCAUGGCUGUCGUCAGCUCGUGUUGUGAAAUGUUGGGUUAAGUCCCGCAACGAGCGCAACCCUUAUCCUUUGUUGCCAGCGAUUCGGUCGGGAACUCAAAGGAGACUGCCGGUGAUAAACCGGAGGAAGGUGGGGAUGACGUCAAGUCAUCAUGGCCCUUACGAGUAGGGCUACACACGUGCUACAAUGGCGCAUACAAAGAGAAGCGACCUCGCGAGAGCAAGCGGACCUCACAAAGUGCGUCKUAGUCCGGAUCGGAGUCUGCAACUCGACUCCGUGAAGUCGGAAUCGCUAGUAAUCGUGGAUCAGAAUGCCACGGUGAAUACGUUCCCGGGCCUUGUACACACCGCCCGUCACACCAUGGGAGUGGGUUGCAAAACAAGUAGGUAG